This 469-nucleotide ribosomal RNA is filed under the name uncultured bacterium. Its description in RNAcentral is "partial 16S ribosomal RNA". It matches the Rfam family "Bacterial small subunit ribosomal RNA", at positions 28 to 507 of the family's 1533-position model. The record is from RNAcentral.
GACGAACGCUGGCGGCGUGCUUAACACAUGCAAGUCGAACGGAAAGGCCCUGCUUGCAGGGUGCUCGAGUGGCGAACGGGUGAGUAACACGUGGGUGAUCUGCCCCUUACUUUGGGAUAAGCCUGGGAAACUGGGUCUAAUACUGGAUAGGACCAUGCUGUAGGUGGUGUGGUGGAAAGAUUAGUUUCGGUAAGGGAUGAGCUCGCGGCCUAUCAGCUUGUUGGUGGGGUAAUGGCCUACCAAGGCGUCGACGGGUAGCCGGCCUGAGAGGGUGGACGGCCACAUUGGGACUGAGAUACGGCCCAGACGCCUACGGGAGGCAGCAGUGGGGAAUAGUGCAAAAUGGGCGCAAGCCUGAUGCAGCGACGCCGCGUGGGGGAUGACGGCCUUCGGGUUGUAAACUCCUUUCAGCCAUGACGAAGCCCUUGUGGUGACGGUAGUGGUAGAAGAAGCACCGGCUAACUACGUG